RNAcentral lists this non-coding RNA (313 nucleotides) under Ixodes scapularis (black-legged tick). RNAcentral's name for it is "Eukaryotic small subunit ribosomal RNA". It matches the Rfam family "Eukaryotic small subunit ribosomal RNA", at positions 1277 to 1537 of the family's 1831-position model. Lineage: Eukaryota; Metazoa; Arthropoda; Arachnida; Ixodida; Ixodidae. The record is from Rfam by way of RNAcentral.
GUGGUGCAUGUCCGUUCUUAGUUGGUGGAGCGAUUUGUCUGGUUAAUUUCGAUAACGAACGACUCUAGUCUUCUAAAUAGGUGCGUGUUCUCUGCACCUUGCACCUUUCUCAGAGGGACAAGCGGCUCCUAGCAGCAGGAAACAGAGCAAUAUCAGGUCUGUGAUGGUCAUAGAUGUCCGGGGCCGCACGCGCGCUACACUGAAGGAAGCAGCGUGUUUUAUCACUUUCUGUUAAGACAGUAAGCUUAGAAAAAAAAGUGGCUUGAGCCAAUACAGGGAGCUAAUUGAAGUCCAUCGGAUUGCCCCGAGCAAG